This 484-nucleotide ribosomal RNA is filed under the name uncultured bacterium. Its description in RNAcentral is "bacterial SSU rRNA". It matches the Rfam family "Bacterial small subunit ribosomal RNA", at positions 1014 to 1501 of the family's 1533-position model. The record is from RNAcentral.
UUCCUUCGGGGACGCGGUGACAGGUGCUGCAUGGCUGUCGUCAGCUCGUGUCGUGAGAUGUUGGGUUAAGUCCCGCAACGAGCGCAACCCUCGUCCUUAGUUGCCAUCAUUCAGUUGGGCACUCUAAGGAAACCGCCGGUGAUAAGCCGGAGGAGGGUGGGGAUGACGUCAAGUCCUCAUGGCCCUUACACGCUGGGCUACACACGUGCUACAAUGGCGGUGACAGUGGGCAGCAAACUCGCGAGGGUGAGCUAAUCUCCAAAAGCCGUCUCAGUUCGGAUUGUUCUCUGCAACUCGAGAGCAUGAAGGCGGAAUCGCUAGUAAUCGCGGAUCAGCAUGCCGCGGUGAAUACGUUCCCAGGCCUUGUACACACCGCCCGUCACACCAUGGGAGUUGGUUUCACCCGAAGGCAGUGCGCUAACCGCAAGGGGGCAGCUGACCACGGUGGGAUCAGCGACUGGGGUGAAGUCGUAACAAGGUAACC